UACGUAGGAUGCGAGCGUUGUCCGGAAUUAUUGGGCGUAAAGAGAACGUAGGCGGUUUCUUAAGUUUGGGCUUAAAGACUGGGGCUCAACCCCAGGAGUGGCUCGAAAACUGAGAGACUAGAGGAUGGCAGAGGAAAGUGGAAUUCCCAGUGUAGCGGUGAAAUGCGUAGAUAUUGGGAGGAACACCAGUGGCGAAAGCGACUUUCUGGGCCAUUCCUGACGCUGAGGAGCGAAAGUGUGGGGAGCGAACAGG
This 253-nucleotide ribosomal RNA is filed under the name uncultured bacterium. RNAcentral describes it as "partial 16S ribosomal RNA". It matches the Rfam family "Bacterial small subunit ribosomal RNA", at positions 524 to 776 of the family's 1533-position model. The record is from RNAcentral.